Molecule: ribosomal RNA, 439 nt
Filed under: uncultured bacterium
Lineage: Bacteria
Description: partial 16S ribosomal RNA
Rfam family: Bacterial small subunit ribosomal RNA
Source: RNAcentral
CCUACGGGAGGCAGCAGUGGGGAAUAUUGCACAAUGGGCGAAAGCCUGAUGCAGCAACGCCGCGUGAGCGAUGAAGGCCUUCGGGUUGUAAAGCUCUGUCCUCAAGGAAGAUAAUGACGGUACUUGAGGAGGAAGCCCCGGCUAACUACGUGCCAGCAGCCGCGGUAAUACGUAGGGGGCUAGCGUUAUCCGGAAUUACUGGGCGUAAAGGGUGCGUAGGUGGUUUCUUAAGUCAGAGGUGAAAGGCUAGGGCUAAACCGUGGUAAGCCUUUGAAACUGGGGGACUUGAGUGCAGGAGAGGAGAGUGGAAUUCCUGGUGUAGCGGUGAAAUGCGUAGAUAUUAGGAGGAACACCAGUGGCGAAGGCGGCUCUCUGGACUGUAACUGACGCUGAGGCACGAAAGCGUGGGGAGCAAACAGGAUUAGAUACCCCAGUAGUC